CCUACGGGGGGCAGCAGUGAGGAAUAUUUGUCAAUGGACGAGAGUCUGAACCAGCCAAGUAGCGUGAAGGAUGACUGCCCUAUGGGUUGUAAACUUCUUUUAUAUGGGAAUAAAAUGUUCCAUGUGUGGGAUUUUGUAUGUACCAUAUGAAUAAGGAUCGGCUAACUCCGUGCCAGCAGCCGCGGUAAUACGGAGGAUCCGAGCGUUAUCCGGAUUUAUUGGGUUUAAAGGGAGCGUAGGUGGAUUGUUAAGUCAGUUGUGAAAGUUUGCGGCUCAACCGUAAAAUUGCAGUUGAAACUGGCAGUCUUGAGUACAGUAGAGGUGGGCGGAAUUCGUGGUGUAGCGGUGAAAUGCUUAGAUAUCACGAAGAACUCCGAUUGCGAAGGCAGUUCACUGGACUGCAACUGACACUGAGGCUCGAAAGUGUGGGUAUCAAACAGGAUUAGAUACCCCUGUAGUC
This 460-nucleotide ribosomal RNA is filed under the name uncultured bacterium. Its description in RNAcentral is "partial 16S ribosomal RNA". It matches the Rfam family "Bacterial small subunit ribosomal RNA", at positions 338 to 795 of the family's 1533-position model. The record is from RNAcentral.